GAUGAACGCUAGCUACAGGCUUAACACAUGCAAGUCGAGGGGUAACGAGAGGGAAGCUUGCUUUCCUUGUCGACGACCGGCGCACGGGUGAGUAACGCGUAUCCAACCUGCCCCCAACUAGGGAAUAACCUUGCGAAAGUAAGACUAAUACCCUAUAAUCUCCUCAGAUGACAUCUGACGAGGAAUAAAGAUUUAUCGGUUGUGGAUGGGGAUGCGUCUGAUUAGCUUGUUAGCGGGGUAACGGCCCACCAAGGCAACGAUCAGUAGGGGUUCUGAGAGGAAGGUCCCCCACAUUGGAACUGAGACACGGUCCAAACUCCUACGGGAGGCAGCAGUGAGGAAUAUUGGUCAAUGGGCGAAAGCCUGAACCAGCCAAGUAGCGUGCAGGAUGACGGCCCUAUGGGUUGUAAACUGCUUUUAUACAGGAAUAAAGUUGGCCACGUGUGGUUAUUUGUAGGUACUGUAUGAAUAAGGACCGGCUAAUUCCGUGCCAGCCGCCGCCGUAA
RNAcentral lists this ribosomal RNA (506 nucleotides) under uncultured bacterium. RNAcentral's name for it is "partial 16S ribosomal RNA". It matches the Rfam family "Bacterial small subunit ribosomal RNA", at positions 28 to 523 of the family's 1533-position model. The record is from RNAcentral.